UACGUAGGGUGCGAGCGUUAAUCGGAAUUACUGGGCGUAAAGGGCGCGUAGGCGGCCUGCCAAGUCAGGGGUGAAAGCCCCCAGCUCAACUGGGGAAGUGCCUUUGAUACUGGCGGGCUCGAGCGAGGCAGGGGUCGUGGGAACUUCCGGUGGAGCGGUGAAAUGCGUUGAUAUCGGAAGGAACGCCGGUGGCGAAAGCGCACGACUGGUCCUCUUCUGACGCUGAGGCGCGAAAGCCAGGGGAGCAAGCGGG
RNAcentral lists this ribosomal RNA (253 nucleotides) under uncultured bacterium. Its description in RNAcentral is "partial 16S ribosomal RNA". It matches the Rfam family "Bacterial small subunit ribosomal RNA", at positions 524 to 776 of the family's 1533-position model. The record is from RNAcentral.